GCCCCAGUAGCUCAUCAGGAUAGAGCGUCGGCCUCCUAAGCUGAAGGUAGCAGGUUCGAGUCCUGCCUGGGGCA
RNAcentral lists this transfer RNA (74 nucleotides) under Terasakiispira papahanaumokuakeensis. Its description in RNAcentral is "Halomonadaceae bacterium PH27A tRNA". It matches the Rfam family "tRNA". Rfam says of the family: Transfer RNA (tRNA) molecules are approximately 80 nucleotides in length. Lineage: Bacteria; Pseudomonadati; Pseudomonadota; Gammaproteobacteria; Oceanospirillales. The record is from Rfam by way of RNAcentral.